UGGAUGGAUUCGCCAUUGCACCGCAGGUU
RNAcentral lists this non-coding RNA (29 nucleotides) under Rattus norvegicus (Norway rat). Lineage: Eukaryota; Metazoa; Chordata; Mammalia; Rodentia; Muridae. The record is from RNAcentral.